CGCGGCUCAUGCCGGCGCCGCGCAGCGCCGAGCCCCUGGGCGGGGGCGGGGGCUCCGGCCGCGGCUGCCGGCAGUAGGGGUGGGGGGGAGAACCGGCGCUGCCGGGGCUGGGCGGGCAGUGUCCCUGACGUGCUCGGGGGCUGGUGCUGCCGAGAGGUUUCCCCCUCGCGCCAUCUCGCCCCGGCAGGGCUCGCUGCGGUGCUAUACGGGUGUGGGGGACUCGGCCUCUGAGCUGAGCCCAGCGGUAGCUCCGGUGGAGGAGCGCGGGUUCGCGAGUCUCCGGCCCGAGGGGAAAAAGCGAAAGGAGCUGCUGAAAGUGGGGUUUUGGGUAAGGGGGAUUUGCCCCGUUAGUUUGGCCACAAGCUCCACCUGAAUGGGUUCACGUUAGGACACUACCUGGUGGCAGUGAUCACUCAAGCUCCAGUGAGAAAAUUAUUCAUCUCAUAGCCUUAAAACCAAGGCACAGGUGCCUGGGCAAGUGCUCGUCCAGGAGCAGGAGGUGCUUCACUCUGCCCAGAACUUAAGUUUCACCUUUAAACAAGCUGUUGCUAAUGGCCUUGAGCCAUUAGUUUUUAGACCAGCCCUACAGCAGGGGGCUAGAGGGUGGUCUCCUGUACCAGCACUUAGGCUUCAGUAAGAUCACAGAAAACAUACUUAAUGGGAUCUUAGUUGGCAUUAUAAUACUUCCUAGCAUGCGUAUAUUUGUUUUCUCUGGGUUACUGUUGAUGUUCUUUCUUUUCUCCAGGUGGAACAACAAACUUGCAAACAGAGAAGAAAAGUGUCUCUGAAAAUGGGCUUAAAGUGACCGAAUACCCUUCAAAUAGCAAACUCCUCAUGGCAAUGGCAACAAAAGCAGCACGGUGUUUCCUCUGUCCUGGGACCUUCCACCAUGCUUGUCUGAAUGCUCCCACCUCAAACUGGCUGCCCCAGCAUUUUACGGAAGCUAUCCUCAUUCUGACUGCAGGCUGCAAAUCCCCACUAUGCUCUCAGUUUUUCAUCUUUGGUUACAUCUGCACUUCUUGCUCCCAGCUGCAACAGAGAUCAGAAGUGAUAGAACACUACAAAAGAAAGGCCAUCCUGGUAGCAUUUCCAGCUUGACUGCAUACAACAAAUACCAAGAAUCUUGGAAGAGAACGUAUUUGCAGAUGCCCAGCCCUGUGUUCAGAUGGAUAUCUGAACACUUAGGUGCUUAACCACCAGAACUCCUGAUAGUAGCAGUAAGCAAUCUUCUGAGUUUUCUAAAUCGAUAGUAUUGUUUUAUAUCAUUAAAGCUGUGAAAAUUUAAUGCCAACAGUAGUUGCGUCACUUUGGUAGGUACCUGCCUUGUGGAUACAUUCAGGCAGUGAGAAGUGAAGCAUUUGUACAGUUGUACUUUAUGGUUUACAGUUCUACAGAUGCAAAGCAAGAAGCCAGUCAGAAACCAAAGGGGCAAUAUAGCCUGCUGUCAUAGUUUUGUCCUUUCAAGAAACUGUGUAAUAAAUUGGUUGCCCAGAGAGCUGGUGGAUGCCCCAUCUCUGGAGACACUCAAAUUCAGUCUGGAGGGGCUCUGAGCAUCCUGAUCUAUCUGUAGCUGUCCCUAUUCAUUGCAGGGGAGUUGGACCAGAUGGCCUUUAAGGGUCCUUUGCAACUCAAUCAAAUCUAUGAUUUUAAAUGUAAGUGGCAGUAUAUAUAUUUUUCCUGUGAAUGUCAAAUAAUUUCAAAUAAAAUAAUUUGUGCUAGAUUGCUUGCUGUUUCUUCCUGCUUUCUGGUCAGUUUAAGGAUCUGCAGUUGUGGAUAAAAGAAAUGAAUCGUGUAGAAAAUGUUUCUGGCAUUAAUGCGUCUAACUGUAAGUUAAUACAUCUGAUUCUUACUGAACUUGUACUUUGAAAUUGUACUAGGUUGAGUGAUUACUUAUCUUUAACUCAUCUGAGGUUUUUGCUGUGAUUGACUGACUUUCCUUUUCUCUCUUUUGUCAUAAUGGAACCAGAUAAGCACUGCUCACAGAAAGCCUGGGAGGUUUAGGGACACGGUUUAAUGAUAUGGUGAUGAUGGUUUGAUGGUUGGACUAGUUGAUCUUAGAAGUCUUUUCCAACCUAAAUGAUUCUAUGAUUCUAUAGUCUAUACUAUGAAGUUUUCAGCCUCAAAAAUCAACUGUAGCAUAAGAAUUUCCAGAGAUAAAAUCUUCAGAUUUUUUAAGUUCUGGACUUUUCUGACUUGAGUUGUGCAGUGAUGGUUUACACAACUUGAAGAUGUGACCUCAAUAUAACACUUCUCAUUACAUUUGAGGAAAACCAUCAGAAAUAAAACAUAACAUACUCCCACACAGACAUGCACCCAACCCUUUGUGACAGUUUUUAAAGUAGGUCUUGAGCAAACUCAUCUCAUCUAAAACUUCUCUUUUGCCUUCUCGACUCCAACCACAUUGGAAGGGAAUAUUUGCAUAGAGAUAGAUCUGAAACUCCAAAUCACAGAAGCACAAGUGAUGACAACAGAAAUAUAAAUGUACUGGCUUGGCCCUCAUCCAUACCAAGCAGCAGUGCCAGGGACAGGAAAGUGGAGUUGGAUCUGGAAACCUAACAAGGCAGUAUGUAUCACAGGUAGACAUGAGAACUGGAAAAGACUUGCAGAAAGGAAUAUUGUGGCUGGAGAAAAGAGAAGGGAGUAAGAUGACAGAUUAAUAGCUGGUGUUGCAUAAUUGGUGUGUCUUAAAAAGUUUUACUUGUUUGCUUAUUCACUCCAAAGUUAUGUACCAAGAGCAGCAGCAGCAGAGUUGCAGGCCAGAUGGUAGAGGAAGUGCCUCAUGUAUCUUUCCAGCCCGCUGAAGCCUGCAGGGCCUUCGUUAACCCAGUGCUCUGGUUUUCAUUGCAAGUCCCUUUCUUCCCUUUUUUUUCUUUUCCUUUCUUCAAAGAAAAAGAAGGGAGGGGAAAAGAGGAAGAAAAAAAAGAAGAAACGAAAAGCCAUGGUUUAAACUGGCAAUAGCACCAUCCUUUUGGCUUUGAGCUAUCCCACCCUGUGCCAAAUACAGUCUCCAACAGCUCUCCCACAACAAAUCAGGCCAGAUACACAAAAGCUGUAGAAAAAGAAUGGUGAAGAAAGAUCCUUGAUUCUCUCUCUAGCCCCCCAGCCUUUUCCUUUUGCUUCUCUCCCCAAGCUUCAUUCCCCAGCAGCGACCUCCUCCUGCCUGCCAGUACUGUAAGUGAUGCUGGGAGCUCCAGUGUACAGCUUUGUUGACAGCUGCCUUAGAGUGCAGGCAUCUGUGCCUUUAUGUAUUGAGGGAGCAAUGUAAAGGAAAAGUUACAUUCCAUUAUUCCUGGAACUUCUGAGAGCCAAUGUUUCAAAAAAAAAAAAAAAAAAAAAAAAAAGGCACAAAUUGUUAGCAUAGCAAAUUCAUCACAAGUAGAAAUUGUCUAUUCCAUCAGCUAACCCAUACCACUGCACUGUGUCACAACUUACAGAUAGGCUUUUCCAAGUAGAUACAUGAAAAAAAUAGUGAUGUUAUCCAUUUAUACAGUACAUUAUUUAAAAAUACGGAAAAAAGACCACUACAUUUUUCAAAACUGAUUAGCAAACAUUAAGUGGUCCAAAUAUUAGGCACCAGUUUCAAAGACCUUAAGAUAUUGAUUUUUAGAAAGUACAAAAAAUGUGUUUUUAGAUGGCACUCAUUAGCAGAAUCAUCUUAAAUUAAUAAUCACUUAUGAAAACUACGCCUUUGCUUCUUUCCUUGGGGUUGUAGAUUCAUACACAGACAAUAGGACAGGCAUUUGCCUAGGGUCAGAACCGAGUGGUGAUAACAUCAAUGGCAUAAACUUUUAGAAGGCUGGAUGCUGCUGUUGCACAUCAAGAAGAAAAUGUGCUGCACAUUUGUAGGGCAGCAUAGAAGGAGCACUGGAGAACACCAGAAUGUGAACAACUAAUGUUUAGGAAGGACAAGGGAACAAACUGCUGGAGAGACAUGCAGAAUAUGACAGAAGAAACAUAAGCAGGUAGAGAUGUGCAGAGCUUACAACCUCUUGCUUUAAAGAUGACCUCCCGUACCUCCACUGCUUUAACAAUCUUAGUAUAAUUUUCUUACUCAUUUGUCUUAUUUCAGAUGUCUACUUUAAUUUUUUUCUUAUUAAUAAGAACAGUGACUCUUAGCUACCACUGUUAUUACCACUGCCUCGUUAAAUAUGAAUAAUUUUGUAUUUCUUUGGGGACAAUUACUAUGUCUUUGCUCUAGACUGUACAUACUAAAUUCUUUAAGCUAUACAUCAGAAUUUUUCCCCCAAACCUGACAUUAUUUUUAAUUUAAUAUUUUUAUUACCAAUUCUUAAUUUAUUUUUAUCAUUCUUUUAAUGUGUACUCAAGGUACAUACUAGGAGAUUUUUUUUUUUACCUGCUACCAUCCUGUGGUACCAUACUGGUGUUAAGGGUAGAGAGAGGAAUUUCUAAGGGAAAGGUAGGAUGCACUAUUUGUUAUUACCUGAGCUGCAUGCAGCAUCACUCUGUGAGAAUUUCACCUAAUGGGAAAUGUUAAAGACAGACAAUAGGUUUACAGUAAUGCUCUAGUUAUUGUGGAUACGUGAAAAAACUCCUUUGGAAAACGUUCUGGAAAUGGAAAUAUAUGGAUUGCUUGAUUUCUGUAGGGCAGGGAGUCAGUUCUUUUUUCAUUCUUAGCACAUAUGAGAUAACACAUUUUUAUGAUUAACAAUUUGUACUACUAACUAAGCAAAAAUGUUUGUGGUAAAGGAAUAAACAGAAGUCCAUAACUAAUUGGAAACAGUGAGGUUGUGUAAUUUUUCCAUUGCCUGCUUUGGAGAAUUAAAAGUUCAGUUUCAAAUCUCCCACAUUCUGUGGGGCUUUAUGGGAAAUGACAGACAUAAAAGAUAAUAAAGACAUCUCACCUUAAUAAAUAAUGAUAACAAAACAAUAAAAAUAAGAUGCUGAUUUCUCAUUUUUUGCUGAAGGAGGGAAGUUGCCACCACUAUGAUGUCUAACUUUACUGAAUGACGCUAUCUGACACUCCUUUAUUUUAUGUCCUCCCUGAAUUCUUGCAUUUAAGCCUGAGUCAAGGUCAAGCCAAGAGAUUUAAGAAAAACUCUUUGCCGUCCUCAAGGAAAGCUCUUGCGCAGUGAUCACUGCAAGUGUUUUGUGUUGGAUGUUUAAUAAUCAGUGAUGGUAUUGGAGUGGGAGGUUAAGAAUGCUACAGCUAAUUGAAAAUGUAGGCAGAGAAUAAUAACGUAUUACAUAGGAUAAUGGAAAGGCUAGUUGUCUUUCUAAUAACCUUGUGACAGUAACAACUGCACCAUCCGUCAGCAUUCCUUUUUUGUGAAUAGGUAAAAAAGACUCAGUAGAGAAAGAAAACAAUCAGAUGAGAUAUGUAUAUCUCUUACAUACAUCACUGGUAUUACGUAAUUGAAUGUUCUCAAUGAAUUCAAAAGGAUUACUGCAUCUUUAAAGCUGAGGAUGUGCGUACAUGUUUUCUCAACUGGGACAUAAGUACUGAAAAAUUAUGGCAACAAUUUGAAAGAAUGCUUUUAGCACAUCUUUUCCUUUCAGCUUUUCUGUGCUUGCAUCUUGCAUGACAGCGGUGUGUGCAGUUUGCUGAAGGGAUGGACAAGAGACACAGGCAAGUCGUGGGAAAGGUCUAACCGAUGCACAAAUGUACUACUGAAUAAACAAGCUCCCUCUGAUCUAAAUCCUCACAACUGCAAAAUCAGGCCAUAUUUACUAGUAACCAAGCUCUCAGAGCUUCUUACAAAUGCAUUUGUGUAAUAUAGCUCCAGUGGAAUUAGCAACAAUGGACUUCUGGUGUCACCCUGUUCUGGCACUUUAUGACUGUGCUGUCAAACCACAUUGAUAGUCACAAAAACAUAUGUUGGUUCUUUUCCUGCAUUAGAGAUUCCAGUCCAAAUAUAAUCUUGAUGCUGCAGAAAGAAAAGUCUCUGAGUAGGUAAUCUAGGAGAAAAUUCUAUCUAUAACUGGUUAAAGGCAUCCAGUGGGUUGCAGAUGGAAGAGACAUUUUCUGGAAAAACCGGCUUAUUGGGCAUGCUGCUCUCAGUAAUGUAGUUCCAGCUGUGGUGCACCUUCCAAGAUAUCCUGACCAUAUGUAAACCCACGUGUUUCCUAAGAUAUCUGUUAGGAUUUUUUAUUUUUUACUUUAACUAGCUGUUCAGUACUUCCAAGCCCUAUUUUUCUAAGGCCUGCAAUAUCAUACAUGAAGUCAAUCACAAGGCAUACCAGUUACUACAUCUCCCAGUUUUAAGACAUUUUGGUUGUUCUGUGUGGCUUUUCCUCUACUGACGGAGAGCCCAUAGCAACAACAACAACAACAAACUUUUCAGUCACCUCUGGGAGAAGAGAGGGCUAAACAUUAGAGUAAUUACUCCCACACACAUUUUCAGCCACUUGCUGUUGUGCUCUGAAGAUGCUUAAUUCAGAAACCAAGAUCAGAUUCUUAGAAUGAUAGGCACCGUCUUGUCUCUAUAAGUACAGACUUGGCAAAAUGUCACCUUUUUUGAAGCUUGCAAGGUACUGACCGUACUCAGGGCAAUUACUAAAAGAGAUUGCAGUGUGCCUCUUUUAGCUAAGGAAAGUGCUCAAGGGAGCCAGGGACAACUCUGCUCUCCAGUUCUGUACUCGCUUUCCGUGUAGCUCUAUUCAGAAACCUCAGCAUUUUGAAAAGUGGGGAUGUUACAGAGUCUUUGUUCCUAUGUCCUAAGGUUAGAGCAAAAAAAGUCUAAAUGAUGAUGUAGUUCAUCUUCUUGCUAAUGUUGGCUUUUUCUUAAUGGAAUACUCGACAUAGAUCAAAUAAGUAAAAUGAUUUCUGUUAUUUUUAUCAGGAUCUUCUUAUGCACUUCAAUGAAACCCAUUACAUAGAUUUGCUGUUAUUUUAAAGUAUAAUAACAAUGUUCAAGUAAUACCAGAUGAAACUGGUUUCAACCGCCAUUAACUUUGGCUUUUCAGAAAGGGAAAGAAAUCCUCUGGUAUUUCCAGCCUCCGUUGGAACGUUGGCACAGGAAAGAAUUUAGUGGGGCUAGCAUGCAAGGAAGUGAUGUAACUUUUACCAGAUUGUGUGACUAUGUGGAAAAAAAAUCAAACAUCAGUUGGCCUAUUACUCUAUUAAACCACCAAUUUCCUAUGCCAGCAAAUUGGAAAAUGAACUGCAUCUCCUUUGCUGACUUUUGCCAUCUGCAUCAGCUGCUUUCUUAAAAGCUAAUUCUCAGGAUUCCAACUAUGCCAUCACAUGUGCUUGUAUAACUCCAAGAGGAAAUACUUAUUUAAGUCUCGUUUUUGCAUGAACAUAUACUUCCUUUUCUAGUUACAGAGCAAACAGAAGUGCAUGCUCAUCUAGGGCUGCCUGCUGAUUCCUUAACAUUUUCUUUUUACAAAGUUCCGUAGAGCAGAAUACAAUUGCUAGCAUAAUAAAAACAGUGUUAGCAGUAGCAAUCUGGAAAGCAGAAUUUGUUUUAUGAAAAUGCCAGACUUUGGUUUUAUUUUUAAGAAAUUAGAAGUUAAAACCAAAUGUCCAUCAAGCAGAAUUUUAAAUAUUGCAAUAAAUUACUUCGGAGAAGGUUUGUUUGUUUUUUUUUCUUUUGACAUAGCAAGUAUUCUGUUGAGAUAACUUUAAAACAUUGCAUUAGAUCCUAUAAUCUGAUAUUUGAGUAACAUUUAACCUGGUAUUUGAAUAACAUUUGAAUAAACAUUUUAGAAUAUUAAGGACUAAAUAAAUUAACAAAACAAUACCGAAGUAAAAUUACCAGAAAAGGUCAGAAUGUGGUGCUGGUUGUUGUCUUAACAAAAUGAGAAGCAACUUUCCCUCACUGAAAGAAAUGUUAAUAAAAAUACAUUUUUCAUACGUAAAAAAAAUGAACACUGUCUUUUGUGUUGCUAAAUUAUUCCACUGAAAAGUUUUCAGCUAAUUUUAGCAAUCUAUUAAACAUUUCUAUCUGAAAGUAUAUGGAAGUAAGGGUGAGCAAUGGACAAUGUGAAGGCAGAGAUGAGCAUGUAUUUGGAUACAGAGAUCGGUGGUGUGUAGGAAUGUUGUACAUAGCACAGAAGAGACAGGAAGAUCUGAUAACAUCUCUGUAGUGCUCUGAAAUACUUUUGAAGUAACAGUAGCAAAAAAAACCCAGAACCAAACAGCCUUAACAGCUCUAUAUUUAAUGUCUUUUCCUGCAGAUUCGUGACCAAUGGAUUGGGAUGUACCACAGUACAAGGAACUGGCAGAUGUUUCUCUGUUGACCCAAAUGUAAAUUAUGGAGACAGAAAUGGUCCAGGAUGAAAUGUAAGAGAACCAUAUAGUUUCAGCAAUUUGUAGGUAUCUACUACAGUUAUUCUUAUUCCAUGAAAAAGACAAUGAAAGGAGCAGCAAUUUAUUAAGUAGGUGAUAGUAGGUCCAAAUAAGAUUAAAAAUGCUAACUUAUUAAAUCAUGUAUUUAAGGCUUAAAGGCAAGUAUAAGGUUUGUUUUUUUUUCCAGAUAUACAACAGUUUCAGGUUAUUUUUAUAAUUUCCCUGCAACUUAAAGCCAAAUUUAACUAUCCUAAUUACUUUUUUUUUCCUUUACUACUAAAAGACAAUAUACCGUGGUAUGUAUGUGAGUGUGCAAAUCAGUUUGGAUCAGAUCAGUUUGACAAUAGAUGGCUGUGUGGCCACAGCCUUGUUUUACUAGACGUUUUAAAAACAUGUCCUUAUUCUUAUUCAAUGCUUAGUGUAAGAAACAGGAAACUUUUCCAACACCAAACUUAGAUACCCAGCUUGGCCAAUGACUUAAAUUGAAAAUGAGAUGGUCACCAAAGACACAGUGCAAAAUACCCAAAGUAUUCUUCCUCUCUGAAUCACUGUAUCUCAGAGCCUAUAUCUUCCCUUUGGCCCUAGUAGGACCCAUAGGAAAACAGCUGGAUAGUCAAACCAGACAAGUUUUGUGCUGGUAUUUGGGUAGGCUGCUUGCACCCUAAAUUACAAUGAUGCAUAUUGAAGUAGCAUCUGGGGCAAAGUAAAUGCACUAAAUUAUAACACUUGCUCUUCAACAACUUUGUCACAUCUUUGGCAGAAAUUCAAAUAACAGAACUUUUCUUCUUUUUUUUUUUUUUCUUUGAGGUUCAAAGUGUUUCAUUGCUCUUUAAAUAAAUAAAUAUUGGUGUCAGCUGAGCUUCUCAACUUCUGCGGAAGUGGAAGGAUGAGAACAGUCCUGAAAGUGCUACCCUUCAGUAGUUUCCAGGGAAGACAAUCUCAUGAGAAAAUCCUGAUGUUAGGUUUUAUGUCUAUACUUCAAAAUCCUAAAAUAAACUGCCAUAACUGUUCAGAAUUUUAAAUAUUUAUUUGAAUAAAAUGGACUCACCAAAGCUUAAA
Non-coding RNA from Phasianus colchicus (ring-necked pheasant), 9310 nucleotides. The record is from RefSeq and is a predicted model, not a curated record. NCBI's taxonomy places the organism in Eukaryota, Metazoa, Chordata, Aves, Galliformes, Phasianidae.